This is a non-coding RNA of Acanthosepion pharaonis, 109 nucleotides long. The record is from the annotation of a GenBank genome assembly. Lineage: Eukaryota; Metazoa; Mollusca; Cephalopoda; Sepiida; Sepiidae.
GUCAUAUCAUGUUGAAACACCGGUUCUCGUAUGAUCCCCGAAGUUAAUCAACAUCGAACCUGGUCUGUAUCUAGAUGGGUGACUGAUUGGGAAUACUAGUUGCUGUAAG